This 422-nucleotide ribosomal RNA is filed under the name uncultured bacterium. RNAcentral describes it as "bacterial SSU rRNA". It matches the Rfam family "Bacterial small subunit ribosomal RNA", at positions 355 to 774 of the family's 1533-position model. The record is from RNAcentral.
UGAGGAAUAUUGGUCAAUGGGUGCAAGCCUGAACCAGCCAUCCCGCGUGAAGGACGACUGCCCUAUGGGUUGUAAACUUCUUUUGUAUAGGGAUAAACCUACCCUCGUGAGGGUGGCUGAAGGUACUAUACGAAUAAGCACCGGCUAACUCCGUGCCAGCAGCCGCGGUAAUACGGAGGGUGCAAGCGUUAUCCGGAUUUAUUGGGUUUAAAGGGUCCGUAGGCGGACUUAUAAGUCAGUGGUGAAAGCCUGUCGCUUAACGAUAGAACUGCCAUUGAUACUGUAAGUCUUGAGUAUAUUUGAGGUAGCUGGAAUAAGUAGUGUAGCGGUGAAAUGCAUAGAUAUUACUUAGAACACCAAUUGCGAAGGCAGGUUACCAAGAUAUAACUGACGCUGAGGGACGAAAGCGUGGGGAGCGAACA